GGUCGAAAGGGGAAAUUCAUUCGCGUUUCGAUUGCGUCAGAGUUAAGCGUUUGUAUGACGGAUGACGUGUUCACGCGCCGUCUGCAUCUUUCGUUUUUCUAACUGAUAUCGAACGCGUGCACUUUUCCUCUAGUAGGACGUCGCGAUCCGUUAGGUGUCUGUCUAAGGCUCAAGGUGGAGACCGCGUGACUUUUUUUGUUACGUGGACCCUUGAUGUUCCCCGACACACUCGCUCGACGGUAUAAUAAUGGCGCAGGGCCGCUACACUCUAACCAGUUAGCGUUCGGCCCGUAACAAGCACGUUCUGUGUUUUGACGGCGAUCGGACUUCGUGCCGAUUCUGUCCCAGAACGUCUGUUGGUUACGGUGUUCUCGAACAGACCUUGU
RNAcentral lists this ribosomal RNA (386 nucleotides) under Lypnea pubipennis. RNAcentral describes it as "eukaryotic LSU rRNA". Lineage: Eukaryota; Metazoa; Arthropoda; Insecta; Coleoptera; Chrysomelidae. The record is from RNAcentral.